UACGGAGGAUGCGAGCGUUAUCCGGAUUUAUUGGGUUUAAAGGGUGCGUAGGCGGACAAAUAAGUCAGUGGUGAAAACCUGCAGCUUAACUGUAGAAUUGCCAUUGAUACUGUUAGUCUUGAGUAUGGUCAAGGUAGGCGGAAUGUGUAAUGUAGCGGUGAAAUGCUUAGAUAUUACACAGAACACCGAUUGCGAAGGCAGCUUACUGGACCAUUACUGACGCUGAUGCACGAAAGCGUGGGGAUCGAACAGGAUUAGAUACCCUGGUAGUCCACGCCGUAAACGAUGAUCACUCGCUGUUAGCGAUACACAGUUAGCGGCUAAGCAAAAGCAUUAAGUGAUCCACCUGGGGAGUACGGCCGCAAGGCUGAA
This 372-nucleotide ribosomal RNA is filed under the name uncultured bacterium. RNAcentral's name for it is "bacterial SSU rRNA". It matches the Rfam family "Bacterial small subunit ribosomal RNA", at positions 524 to 898 of the family's 1533-position model. The record is from RNAcentral.